This 542-nucleotide ribosomal RNA is filed under the name uncultured bacterium. RNAcentral describes it as "bacterial SSU rRNA". It matches the Rfam family "Bacterial small subunit ribosomal RNA", at positions 356 to 896 of the family's 1533-position model. The record is from RNAcentral.
GGGGAAUAUUGCACAAUGGGCGCAAGCCUGAUGCAGCGACGCCGCGUGAGGGAUGGAGGCCUUCGGGUUGUAAACCUCUUCCGCCCAUGGUCAAGCCGCAACUGUGGGUUGUGGUGAGGGUAGUGGGUAAAGAAGCGCCGGCUAACUACGUGCCAGCAGCCGCGGUAAUACGUAGGGCGCGAGCGUUGUCCGGAAUUAUUGGGCGUAAAGGGCUUGUAGGCGGUUGGUCGCGUCUGCCGUGAAAUUCUCUGGCUUAACUGGGGGCGUGCGGUGGGUACGGGCUGACUUGAGUGCGGUAGGGGAGACUGGAACUCCUGGUGUAGCGGUGGAAUGCGCAGAUAUCAGGAAGAACACCGGUGGCGAAGGCGGGUCUCUGGGCCGUUACUGACGCUGAGGAGCGAAAGCGUGGGGAGCGAACAGGAUUAGAUACCCUGGUAGUCCACGCUGUAAACGUUGGGCACUAGGUGUGGGGGCCACCCGUGGUUUCUGCGCCGUAGCUAACGCUUUAAGUGCCCCGCCUGGGGAGUACGGCCGCAAGGCUA